ACACCGAUGGUGAAGCGGUUAUCAUGCUUGCCUUCCACUAUAGGAAUCCAUUAUUGGUAGCAAGCGGCAGGGGUUGGACUCCCCUUCGGUGUA
Mucidula mucida is the source of this 93-nucleotide non-coding RNA. The record is from the annotation of a GenBank genome assembly. Lineage: Eukaryota; Fungi; Basidiomycota; Agaricomycetes; Agaricales; Physalacriaceae.